GGCCUUGUAGUCUAGAGGUACGAUACUUGCUUUGGGUACUUCACAAGUGCAAGUGGCCUGGGUUCGAUUCCCAGCAAGGCCC
Non-coding RNA from Paxillus rubicundulus Ve08.2h10, 82 nucleotides. NCBI's taxonomy places the organism in Eukaryota, Fungi, Basidiomycota, Agaricomycetes, Boletales, Paxillaceae. The record is from Rfam.